Molecule: ribosomal RNA, 468 nt
Filed under: uncultured bacterium
Lineage: Bacteria
Description: partial 16S ribosomal RNA
Rfam family: Bacterial small subunit ribosomal RNA
Source: RNAcentral
GACGAACGCUGGCGGCGUGCUUAACACAUGCAAGUCGAACGGAAAGGCCCUGCUUUUGUGGGGUGCUCGAGUGGCGAACGGGUGAGUAACACGUGAGUAACCUGCCCUUGACUUUGGGAUAACUUCAGGAAACUGGGGCUAAUACCGGAUAGGAGCUCCUGCUGCAUGGUGGGGGUUGGAAAGUUUCGGCGGUUGGGGAUGGACUCGCGGCUUAUCAGCUUGUUGGUGGGGUAGUGGCUUACCAAGGCUUUGACGGGUAGCCGGCCUGAGAGGGUGACCGGCCACAUUGGGACUGAGAUACGGCCCAGACUCCUACGGGAGGCAGCAGUGGGGAAUAUUGCACAAUGGGCGGAAGCCUGAUGCAGACACGCCGCGUGCGGGAUGACGGCCUUCGGGUUGUAAACCGCUUUCGCCUGUGACGAGGCGUGAGUGACGGUAAUGGGUAAAGAAGCACCGGCUAACUACGUG